CCAGCCAGUGUAGACAUGAAGGAUAGAAUGGGAAUUACAGUGCGUAAAUCUGAACCAUUAAUGGCGGUGCCUAAGAGGUUUAAUAAGGCGUGAGGCUUGAAAUGUAUCAUCUGCUACUCUGCUGCUUAAUUUGAUGCUAUGAACUUCAUGAUCACUACUUGUAUUGUCAGAAUUAAAAGAUUUUCUUGUUGAGUUGAGUGGGAUUUUAUUAUUAUUAACUGGAUUGGACCUAAAAUAUAUUUCAUUCUGGGAGAUGCCUUGAAUUCCAAGGCCCCAGGACUUGUUUUACUUUCUCUGGAUUCAAGGGUGAGGUUGCCAUCCAAAAAAAAAAAAAAAAACAAGAAGAAAUAUUUACAAUGUUGAUUAGCCUAACAAGACCAUGGUUUUGCUAGGAUAGGUUUUAAUUUCAAUCUGAAAUGUUAAAGUUCAAAUUCUAUUAUUAACUUGGAUUAUUCCACUAUUGGAAUUAUUCAUAAGCUUCUAUUUAUAUACCCAUUACAGC
This 502-nucleotide long non-coding RNA is filed under the name Populus tremula. RNAcentral describes it as "long non-coding RNA (PTRE_LNC002573)". The record is from RNAcentral. Lineage: Eukaryota; Viridiplantae; Streptophyta; Magnoliopsida; Malpighiales; Salicaceae.